ACUCCUACGGGAGGCAGCAGUGGGAAUAUUGCACAAUGGGCGCAAGCCUGAUGCAGCCAUGCCGCGUGUGUGAAGAAGGCCUUCGGGUUGUAAAGCACUUUCAGUUGUGAGGAAAGGUUAGUCCUAAUAUCGGUACUAGCUGUGACGUUUAGCAACAGAAGAAGCAACCGGCUAACUCCGGUGCCAGCAGCCGCGGUAAUACGGAGGGUGCGAGCGUUAAUCGGAAUUACUGGGCGUAAAGCGCGUGUAGGUGGCUUGUUAAGCCAGAUGUGAAAGCCCCGGGCUCAACCUGGGAACUGCAUUUGGAACUGGCAGGCUAGAGUUUUGUAGAGGGUGUAUGAAUUUCAGGUGUAGCGGUGAAAUGCGUAGAGAUCUGAAGGAAUACCGGUGGCGAAGGCGACCACCUGGCCAAUAACUGACACUGAGACGCGAAGGCGUGGGUAGCAAACGGGAUUAGAUACCCUGGUAGGCUCUG
This 475-nucleotide ribosomal RNA is filed under the name uncultured bacterium. RNAcentral describes it as "bacterial SSU rRNA". It matches the Rfam family "Bacterial small subunit ribosomal RNA", at positions 335 to 799 of the family's 1533-position model. The record is from RNAcentral.